RNAcentral lists this ribosomal RNA (502 nucleotides) under uncultured bacterium. RNAcentral describes it as "bacterial SSU rRNA". It matches the Rfam family "Bacterial small subunit ribosomal RNA", at positions 28 to 529 of the family's 1533-position model. The record is from RNAcentral.
GACGAACGCUGGCGGCGUGCUUAACACAUGCAAGUCGAACGAAGCGCUUUUAUUUGAUUUCUUCGGAAUGAAGAUUUUAGUGACUGAGUGGCGGACGGGUGAGUAACGCGUGGGUAACCUGCCUCAUACAGGGGGAUAACAGUUAGAAAUGACUGCUAAUACCGCAUAAGACCACAGUACCGCAUGGUACAGGGGUAAAAACUCCGGUGGUAUGAGAUGGACCCGCGUCUGAUUAGGUAGUUGGUGGGGUAACGGCCUACCAAGCCGACGAUCAGUAGCCGACCUGAGAGGGUGACCGGCCACGAUUGGGACUGAGACACGGCCCAAACUCCUACGGGAGGCAGCAGUGGGGAAUAUUGCACAAUGGGGGAAACCCUGAUGCAGCGACGCCGCGUGAGCGAUGAAGUAUUUCGGUAAUGUAAAGCUCUAUCAGCAGGGAAGAAAAUGACGGUACCUGACUAAGAAGCACGGCUAAAUCGUGCCAGCAGCCGCGGUAAUCAUA